RNAcentral lists this ribosomal RNA (254 nucleotides) under uncultured bacterium. RNAcentral describes it as "partial 16S ribosomal RNA". It matches the Rfam family "Bacterial small subunit ribosomal RNA", at positions 524 to 776 of the family's 1533-position model. The record is from RNAcentral.
UACGUAGGGGGCAAGCGUUGUCCGGAUUUAUUGGGCGUAAAGAGCUCGUAGGUGGUUCGGUAAGUCGGAUGUGAAAUCUCCAGGCUCAACCUGGAGGGGUCAUUCGAUACUGCCGUGACUAGAGUUCGGUAGGGGAGUGUGGAAUUCCUGGUGGAGCGGUGAAAUGCGCAGAUAUCAGGAGGAACACCCGUAGCGAAAGCGGCUCUCUGGAACGGUACUGACGCUGAGACGCGAAAGCGUGGGGAGCGAACAGG